Molecule: ribosomal RNA, 635 nt
Filed under: Gongronella butleri
Lineage: Eukaryota; Fungi; Mucoromycota; Mucoromycetes; Mucorales; Cunninghamellaceae
Description: LSU rRNA
Rfam family: Eukaryotic large subunit ribosomal RNA
Source: RNAcentral
ACGGCGAGUGAAGAGGGAAAAGCUCAAGUUUGGAAGCUUCGUGGCAUAGCUACGACGCGUUGUAAACUGAAGUUUUUUGGGUGAUUGGGCGACCGGAUAAAUAAGUCCUUUGGAAAGGGGCAACAUAGAGGGUGACAUUCCCGUCUUUGGUCCGAGUCAGUGCAGUCGCUGCCCAGGAAACGACGAGUCAGGUUGUUUGGGAAUGCAGCCUAAAAUGGGAGGUAAAUCUCUCCUAAAGCUAAAUACUGGCGUAAGACCGAUAGCGAACAAGUACCGUGAGGGAAAGAUGAAAAGGACUUUGAAAAGAGGGUCAAAUAGUACGUGAAAUUGUUGAAAGGGAACCGUAUGAAAGUAGACUGGCUUGGUGAUGAUCAAUGUGUGUUUCGGCACGCAUGCACUCAUUGCCUUUGCCAGCCAGCGGCAGUUUUUGCUAAAGGAAGAAAAUCAGGGGAAUGUAGCUUCGAUUUCGGUUGAAGUGUUAUAGCUCCUGGUAAAAUACUUUGGCAGAGACUGAGGCUAGCAGCGGAUCUUUGGGAACUUUGCGCGCUUGUCGUCCAAUGGUUAAGUUUUCUUCGGAUGCUUGGUCAUUGGGUGGCAACUCGUGUGAUGCUUCACCCUUCCGCUUAGGUCGCUGG